UACGUAGGACGCAAGCGUUAUCCGGAAUUAUUGGGCGUAAAGAGCUCGUAGGCGGUUUGUCGCGUCUGCCGUGAAAGUCCGGGGCUCAACUCCGGAUCUGCGGUGGGUACGGGCAGACUAGAGUGAUGUAGGGGAGACUGGAAUUCCUGGUGUAGCGGUGAAAUGCGCAGAUAUCAGGAGGAACACCGAUGGCGAAGGCAGGUCUCUGGGCAUUAACUGACGCUGAGGAGCGAAAGCAUGGGGAGCGAACAGG
RNAcentral lists this ribosomal RNA (253 nucleotides) under uncultured bacterium. Its description in RNAcentral is "partial 16S ribosomal RNA". It matches the Rfam family "Bacterial small subunit ribosomal RNA", at positions 524 to 776 of the family's 1533-position model. The record is from RNAcentral.